CUACGGGCGGCACCAGUGAGGAAUAUUGCACAAUGGGGGGAACCCUGAUGCAGCAACGCCGCGUGGAGGAUGACGCAUUUCGGUGUGUAAACUCCUUUUAUAUGUCAAGAAAAUGACGGUAGCAUAUGAAUAAGCACCGGCUAACUCCGUGCCAGCAGCCGCGGUAAUACGGAGGGUGCAAGCGUUACUCGGAAUCACUUGGCGUAAAGGACGCGUAGGCGGGUUGGAAAGUCAGGUGUGAAAUCCUACAGCUUAACUGUAGAACUGCACUUGAAACUUCUAAUCUAGAGUAUGGGAGGGGGAGAUGGAAUUAGUGGUGUAGGGGUAAAAUCCGUAGAUAUCACCAGGGAUACCUAAAGCGAAGGCGAUCUCCUGGAACAUUACUGACGCUAAGGCGUGAAAGCGUGGGGAGCAACAGGAUUAGAUACCCUGGUAGUC
This 438-nucleotide ribosomal RNA is filed under the name uncultured bacterium. Its description in RNAcentral is "partial 16S ribosomal RNA". It matches the Rfam family "Bacterial small subunit ribosomal RNA", at positions 339 to 795 of the family's 1533-position model. The record is from RNAcentral.